RNAcentral lists this ribosomal RNA (571 nucleotides) under Aspergillus flavus. RNAcentral describes it as "partial large subunit ribosomal RNA". It matches the Rfam family "Eukaryotic large subunit ribosomal RNA", at positions 90 to 664 of the family's 3401-position model. The record is from RNAcentral. Lineage: Eukaryota; Fungi; Ascomycota; Eurotiomycetes; Eurotiales; Aspergillaceae.
CUAGUGAAGCGGCAGAGCUCAAAUUUGAAAGCUGGCUCCUUCGGGGUCCGCAUUGUAAUUUGCAGAGGAUGCUUCGGGUGCGGCCCCUGUCUAAGUGCCCUGGAACGGGCCGUCAGAGAGGGUGAGAAUCCCGUCUGGGAUGGGGUGUCCGCGCCCGUGUGAAGCUCCUUCGACGAGUCGAGUUGUUUGGGAAUGCAGCUCUAAAUGGGUGGUAAAUUUCAUCUAAAGCUAAAUACUGGCCGGAGACCGAUAGCGCACAAGUAGAGUGAUCGAAAGAUGAAAAGCACUUUGAAAAGAGAGUUAAAAAGCACGUGAAAUUGUUGAAAGGGAAGCGCUUGCGACCAGACUCGCCUCCGGGGUUCAGCCGGCAUUCGUGCCGGUGUACUUCCCUGGGGGCGGGCCAGCGUCGGUUUGGGCGGCCGGUCAAAGGCUCCCGGAAUGUAGUGCCCUCCGGGGCACCUUAUAGCCGGGAGUGCAAUGCGGCCAGCCUGGACCGAGGAACGCGCUUCGGCACGGACGCUGGCAUAAUGGUCGUAAACGACACGUCUAAACACACACAGGGACAUCACAU